Molecule: long non-coding RNA, 911 nt
Filed under: Macaca mulatta (Rhesus monkey)
Lineage: Eukaryota; Metazoa; Chordata; Mammalia; Primates; Cercopithecidae
Description: lncRNA (ENSMMUG00000053092.1)
Source: RNAcentral
AAAUAAUUACCAUGUGUAGCGAAUUUUUUAAAAAGCAAAAUCAGUGCUUCUUAUUAAGAUGGUGCUUUGAGCUGUAAGAAUGCUAUUUUCAGAUUCCCUCAUGCCUCUGCUGCACAUUGCAUUGUGAAUUUGGCUUCAAGCAGACCAAGUCUUUUAGUCACAAGAGGGCACAACUACAGAAAUGGGUUAGACCGUGUUUUUCUUCUUCCUGUGACUGCAGAGAUGAAGGGAAUGAAGACUUCUGACACCAGCUUGCUUGAUGGACUCUGCUCUUCAGCAUCUUCCAAUAUCAGCUCUGCUACUUGCCUACUGGCUUGAUGUUCAAACACAUUCUAAGAUUGGCACUAACUUCUGGUACUUGUACAGUGUAUGCUCAACUUCAGGUUUGCCCAACUUCAAGCACAAGAAGGAAGACAGGAAGAGACCCACUGACUCUCACGUUGUUGUCCUUGCCUGGAUAAGGAAGCAGAGAAACGUAAAGGAAUACAUUCACAAACACACGUACACAAAGACAGAGAGGUGGAGGAUUCUUGUUACGCUCCUGUGAAGCAGUUUGGUAGAAGAAUCCUGAUUGCAAUAGCAUCCGAGAGGGAAAGCACCCAUCUGUCUGAUGCAGCUGCUGCAGUUCUAGAGUUGGUAAGUGAGGCAGGCGUCAGAGGGGUGGGGCAACACCCAGCUUUUGUAGGUGUUCCUGCUCCUUGAUUUGGGUCUGUGAUACCUCUGCAGCAUAGGUAGUCUGCUUCCACUCAAGAAGGGUCACCUUUUCACCUAUACUCCUUGUCCACUGCCUUGAUUUCUGCCUGCUUUUUGCUAGAUCUGCCUCAUUGGAGAUGAUAUGAAUGGAAGUUUGAAGCAUCUCUUCUCAUUUCCAAGCCCAGCCACUCCAUCCCUCAACCUUGCAUAUGUCUUUC